Molecule: long non-coding RNA, 979 nt
Organism: Triticum aestivum (bread wheat)
Lineage: Eukaryota; Viridiplantae; Streptophyta; Magnoliopsida; Poales; Poaceae
Exons: 4
Source: RefSeq, a predicted model, not a curated record
UAAGGAGAAGGCUCUGGAAAGAUUCCCUGCUUCUCCUCUUUCCCCGUCUCCUCUGCUCCAUGGCCGCCGCCUUCCUCCGACUCCCUCGCCACAGUCGCCGCCGUCCUCCAUAGGUAACUCGUUCCAGUUCUGUUGCCAUCCGCUCCUCCGACCUCCACCGCAAACCAUCGCUCACCUCCUCCACCGCCGCCUGAGUCAACCUGCAUCCGCUACCCCCGGUCGCCUUCGAUCUCCCCAACAUCCAUCACCACUCUGACUCCACCACCGUCUGCGGCCGCAUCCCACCACCCUUGGCCCUACCCAGCAGGGCUGCCUUUUACGUGUUGCUUGCACCCCGUGCUCCCUCCUCCUCCAGAUCCGAGUCACUCCAAUCUACAUGCAUCAAGACGCCCCUAUUCUUCCGACAUGACAGCAGCUGAUCUGUUUUCUUGUGGUUGGCAAGCAAGCUUUCUUGAACCAAUGAUGAAAGAGUAUGUCGAUGCGGCAAAGUUUUGUGGUCAAAAUGGAUGGAGAAAGGAGUUGGGGCAUGACAAGCAAAACCUAUCUCAGUUAUUUACGAUGAGGGGAGUACAAAGAGGGCCUCUGUGUGAUUCUCCUUGACGCCUUCCCUGCUCUCCCUGCAUGGCUUUGCCUCGCUCCACAUCCAGGCCGACGCGAGAGGCAGCUCCGAUCUGUCAUCAAGGGAACACCCAUUCAUCUCAUAUUAGCUUGGAGGAUGGUGCUAUGCACAACCAUGCCGGCAAGGGCAACGCUGUAUGCUGCAAUGAUUGUGAGAACAUGAUUGGUAGUCUAGAUGAAUUGGAAACUUAUGAACUGAUAUGUAGGUGAUGGAUGAAAAUUUGGAGUGGUGCUUGUAUGGAUGUGUACAACUGUUAUGUUAUUGCCUUUGAGCAAGUAAACUUUUCACUUGUCUAUUAUAAGAUGUCAGAUCAUGGUUUAAUGGAUAGAUAUCUACUAUGAUUACACUGAUUUUGGAUGA